CUGGACAAGUGUGAUCGUAGCUCGGUAUUGCUGAAGCGGGAGCCCGUAGAUUUACAUUUGAGUGAGUGGCGAACUGGUGAGUAACACGUGGGAAACCUGCCCAGAAGCGGGGGAUAACACCUGGAAACAGAUGCUAAUACCGCAUAACAACUUGGACCGCAUGGUCCGAGUUUGAAAGAUGGCUUCGGCUAUCACUUUUGGAUGGUCCCGCGGCGUAUUAGCUAGAUGGUGAGGUAACGGCUCACCAUGGCAAUGAUACGUAGCCGACCUGAGAGGGUAAUCGGCCACAUUGGGACUGAGACACGGCCCAAACUCCUACGGGAGGCAGCAGUAGGGAAUCUUCCACAAUGGACGAAAGUCUGAUGGAGCAACGCCGCGUGAGUGAAGAAGGGUUUCGGCUCGUAAAACUCUGUUGUUAAAGAAGAACAUAUCUGAGAGUAACUGUUCAGGUAUUGACGGUAUUUAACCAGAAAGCCACGGCUAACUACGUGCCAGCAGCCGCGGUAAUACGUAGGUGGCAAGCGUUGUCCGGAUUUAUUGGGCGUAAAGCGAGCGCAGGCGGUUUUUUAAGUCUGAUGUGAAAGCCUUCGGCUCAACCGAAGAAGUGCAUCGGAAACUGGGAAACUUGAGUGCAGAAGAGGACAGUGGAACUCCAUGUGUAGCGGUGAGAUGCGUAGAUAUAUGGAAGAACACCAGUGGCGAAGGCGGCUGUCUGGUCUGUAACUGACGCUGAGGCUCGAAAGUAUGGGUAGCAAACAGGAUUAGAUACCCUGGUAGUCCAUACCGUAGACGAUGAAUGCUAAGUGUUGGAAGGUUUCCGCCCUUCAGUGCUGCAGCUAACGCAUUAUGCAUUCCGCCUGCGGAGUACGGCCGCAAGGCUGAAACUCACAGGAAUUGACGGAGGCCCGCACAAUCGGUGGAGCAUGUGGUUUAAUUCUAAAUCUACGCGGGGAACCUUAACAGGUUCUUGACGUACUAUGCCAAAUCUGAAAGAUUAGACAUUCCCCUUCGGCGCACAUCGAAGAAAAGUGUUCCAUGGUUUGAAAAUCGGAUUCUUGUCCAGCGAAGUUCUUUUUAAAUUCCCGCAAA
RNAcentral lists this ribosomal RNA (1089 nucleotides) under Lactiplantibacillus argentoratensis. Its description in RNAcentral is "bacterial SSU rRNA". It matches the Rfam family "Bacterial small subunit ribosomal RNA", at positions 25 to 1189 of the family's 1533-position model. Lineage: Bacteria; Bacillati; Bacillota; Bacilli; Lactobacillales; Lactobacillaceae. The record is from RNAcentral.